GUCGUGCUUUCGCGAAUGUGUACGUAUAGUGAGCAGUAUAUGUGAAGACGGUUGUGCGCGUGUGCGCGUUAAAUUGGUGCAGAUCGGGGUUCUCGCGGCCGAUUACAAGAACACAGACUCGGGUCGCGUGUUUUAUCGGUGUACACGGCUCUUUCUGGCGUUGCUCGUCUAUCUCUGUCGAUGGUCGUUGAAUAGCGAAACGUAUCCGUCUCCGGGGAAAUGUAGACCUUUAGUCUGCACCGGCAGUUGGAUUGCGUCUGUGGAGACGGUACGCCACUAAAAAGAUCAAUACACCAUCGCGGCUCGCCUGUUCAUCGGAAUCUAGAUGCCGCGAGUGCACGUUGCUCCCCGAACGCGAAUGAUAUCGUCUGUCUGAAUAUCGUGCCGCGAAUCGUCUCCCCUGUUUCCAACGUCUUCGAUUUCACAGACUAAAUACAGUUUCGUAUCUCUAAAUAAAUAACAAAUUACGUUUACUAUUUUGCCAUCUUUUUCUCCUUCGACCGAAGAU
RNAcentral lists this unclassified non-coding RNA (508 nucleotides) under Bombus terrestris (buff-tailed bumblebee). RNAcentral describes it as "misc RNA ENSBTSG00005025187.1". Lineage: Eukaryota; Metazoa; Arthropoda; Insecta; Hymenoptera; Apidae. The record is from RNAcentral.